RNAcentral lists this unclassified non-coding RNA (139 nucleotides) under uncultured Ascomycota. RNAcentral describes it as "sequence contains ITS1". The record is from RNAcentral. Lineage: Eukaryota; Fungi; Ascomycota.
CAGAGUUGCAAAACUCCUAACCAUUGUGAACGAACCCGUUAUAGUAGUUGCUUCGGCGGGUAGUGCGCUGAAACUGCCCGCCGACGGCAUGCAAUCUCUAGAUUACAGUGGAUCUCUGAGUAGCUUAUUUAAUAAGUCA